RNAcentral lists this ribosomal RNA (394 nucleotides) under uncultured bacterium. Its description in RNAcentral is "bacterial SSU rRNA". It matches the Rfam family "Bacterial small subunit ribosomal RNA", at positions 29 to 422 of the family's 1533-position model. The record is from RNAcentral.
AUUGAACGCUGGCGGCGUGCCUAACACAUGCAAGUCGAGCGGUAACAGGUGUAGCAAUACAUGCUGACGAGCGGCGAACGGGUGAGUAAUGCUUCGGAAUCUGCCCAUGUAAUGGGGAAUAACCAGCCGAAAGGUUGGCUAAUACCGCAUACGACCUACGGGUGAAAGCAGGGGAUCGCAAGACCUUGCGCUAUUGGAUGAGCCGAAGUCGGAUUGGCNGUUGGUAGGGUAACGGCCUACCAAGGCGACGAUCCGUAGCUGGUCUGAGAGGACGACCAGCCACACUGGGACUGAGACACGGCCCAGACUCCUACGGGAGGCAGCAGUGGGGAAUAUUGGACAAUGGGGGCAACCCUGAUCCAGCGACGCCGCGUGUGUGAAGAAGGCCUGCGGG